RNAcentral lists this ribosomal RNA (433 nucleotides) under uncultured bacterium. RNAcentral describes it as "partial 16S ribosomal RNA". It matches the Rfam family "Bacterial small subunit ribosomal RNA", at positions 29 to 507 of the family's 1533-position model. The record is from RNAcentral.
AACGAACGCUGGCGGCAUGCCUAACACAUGCAAGUCGAACGAGACCUUCGGGUCUAGUGGCGCACGGGUGCGUAACGCGUGGGAACCUGCCCUUAGGUUCGGAAUAACUGCCCGAAAGGGGUGCUAAUACCGGAUAAUGUCUUCGGACCAAAGAUUUAUCGCCUUUGGAUGGGCCCGCGUUGGAUUCGCUAGUUGGUAGGGGAAAAGCCUACCAAGGCGACGAUCCAUAGCUGGUCUGAGAGGAUGAUCAACCACACUGGGACUGAGACACGGCCCAGACUCCUACGGGAGGCAGCAGUGGGGAAUAUUGGACGAUGGGCCAAAGCCUGAUCACGCCAUGCCGCGUGAGUGAUGCAGGCCUUAGGGUUGUAAAGCUCUUUUACCCGGGAUGAUAAUGACAGUACCGGGAGAAUAAGCUCCGGCUAACUCCGUG